Molecule: transfer RNA, 71 nt
Filed under: Stegodyphus mimosarum
Lineage: Eukaryota; Metazoa; Arthropoda; Arachnida; Araneae; Eresidae
Rfam family: tRNA
About the family: Transfer RNA (tRNA) molecules are approximately 80 nucleotides in length. Their secondary structure includes four short double-helical elements and three loops (D, anti-codon, and T loops).
Source: Rfam by way of RNAcentral
GCCUUUGUGGUGUAAUGGUAGCACACUUGACCCUUAUUCAAGAGGUUCAGGUUCGAGUCCCGACUAGGGUA